UAGGGAAUCUUCGGCAAUGGACGACAGUCUGACCGAGCAACGCCGCGUGAGUGAAGAAGGUUUUCGGAUCGUAAAACUCUGUUGUUAGAGAAGAACAAGGACGUUAGUAACUGAACGUCCCCUGACGGUAUCUAACCAGAAAGCCACGGCUAACUACGUGCCAGCAGCCGCGGUAAUACGUAGGUGGCAAGCGUUGUCCGGAUUUAUUGGGCGUAAAGCGAGCGCAGGCGGUUUCUUAAGUCUGAUGUGAAAGCCCCCGGCUCAACCGGGGAGGGUCAGUGGAAACUGGGAGACUUGAGUGCAGAAGAGGAGAGUGGAAUUCCAGGUGUAGCGGUGAAAUGCGUAGAUAUAUGGAGGAACACCAGUGGCGAAGGCGGCUCUCGGGUCUGUAACUGACGCUGAGGCUCGAAAGCGUGGGGAGCAAACAGG
This 429-nucleotide ribosomal RNA is filed under the name Gemmatimonadota bacterium. RNAcentral describes it as "Gemmatimonadetes bacterium partial 16S ribosomal RNA". It matches the Rfam family "Bacterial small subunit ribosomal RNA", at positions 355 to 776 of the family's 1533-position model. The record is from RNAcentral. Lineage: Bacteria; Pseudomonadati; Gemmatimonadota.